UGCGCCGAGUGGCGAACUGGUGAGUAACACGUGGGUAACCUGCCCUUGAAGUAGGGGAUAACACUUGGAAACAGGUGCUAAUACCGUAUAACAACCAAAACCACCUGGUUUUGGUUUAAAAGAUGGCUUCGGCUAUCACUUUAGGAUGGACCCGCGGCAUAUUAGCUUGUUGGUAAGGUAACGGCCUACCAAGGCAAUGAUACGUAGCCGACCUGAGAGGGUAAUCGGCCACAUUGGGACUGAGACACGGCCCAAACUCCUACGGGAGGCAGCAGUAGGGAAUCUUCCACAAUGGACGAAAGUCUGAUGGAGCAACGCCGCGUGAGUGAUGAAGGGUUUCGGCUCGUAAAACUCUGUUGUUGGAGAAGAACAGGUGUGAGAGUAACUGUUCACAUCUUGACGGUAUCCAACCAGAAAGCCACGGCUAACUACGUGCCAGCAGCCGCGGUAAUACGUAAGUGGCAAGCGUUGUCCGGAUUUAUUGGGCGU
RNAcentral lists this ribosomal RNA (489 nucleotides) under Lentilactobacillus parabuchneri. RNAcentral describes it as "bacterial SSU rRNA". It matches the Rfam family "Bacterial small subunit ribosomal RNA", at positions 87 to 561 of the family's 1533-position model. The record is from RNAcentral. Lineage: Bacteria; Bacillati; Bacillota; Bacilli; Lactobacillales; Lactobacillaceae.